GUGAUGUAAGGGGUCAUUGUGACCCUCCACUUCCGGUUCGCCCUGGUCAUUUAACCACCAGCGUGUGGAGAGUAUUCAAACACGCCGGGGAUACAGAGACAUACAGACAUUCAGGGGAGGACUCCUAAAGCUUACACUCACCAAGGUUCUGGGACUACCUUCAACAUACUGACCUAUCUAUCAUAGCCCCCUAGGGGACUGGUCUCCCCAGAAAUCUCUGUCCAUUACCUGCCCCUAUGAUUAUCUAGGUGGUUUUAAGUGCAAUAGCAGAUUUCUUUGCUAUACCUACCUGCCAAAAUCACCAGGGGAACGACUUCACUAUAAACCCUGUGGUUCUGACUCCCGCGGGGGGUUAAGCUGCAGCUCGGACAAGCUUCCACCUUGUGACCAUUUCUAUCUCUCCCCCCCCCCCUUUGUUGUAUCCCAUUUGUCUUCGCUGACAUGGUUUGUUACUCCACAAUUGUUGAUGAGAAUGUAUUGUAGAUGAAUGCGGCGCCCAGAAGACGCUCCCUUUUGCGAAACAUGUCGGCGACUAGCAUCUAACUUUCAUGUGCAUCUCGUCUGUAACAGGGCAACCAAUGAUUUUAUCAUUGCAUUCUAAAUGUUUUCUUUUAUGUAUUUAAAUAAAUGUUUAUAUUUUUCUAUACAAAUGUUAUUGGCUCACCUACCCCUGACACGACACACCAUAGAGUCCUAUAUCACUGAUGCGGUUUCUAUACCGACUCAGUUGUUUUUUGUUCUUAAUCUGGUUCUAAUUUGUGUUUUUUGUUAUUUCAGUUUAACAUGGAUCAACUCAAUGUCCACAAAAAUCUGGCAAGAUUGAUUGAAAAAUACCGGGAACUCCCGUGCCUUUGAGAUUUGAGGCUCCCAUCAUACAAGUCUAAUGUGAGAACGGCAACACUCGAACAAGUUGCAACAU
Molecule: long non-coding RNA, 919 nt
Organism: Rana temporaria (common frog)
Lineage: Eukaryota; Metazoa; Chordata; Amphibia; Anura; Ranidae
Exons: 4
Source: RefSeq, a predicted model, not a curated record